Molecule: long non-coding RNA, 488 nt
Organism: Hevea brasiliensis (rubber tree)
Lineage: Eukaryota; Viridiplantae; Streptophyta; Magnoliopsida; Malpighiales; Euphorbiaceae
Exons: 3
Source: RefSeq, a predicted model, not a curated record
UCGUGUAGGUAUCCUCAAUUCGCAGAAAUUCGACAGUUGAUCGGGUCUGCAAAUUUCGGGCCAGACAGACCCGUUACCGGAAAAGUCUCCGAAUUGGGCCGAGGUUUUGGCUAGCCCCCCAUUGUCAGACGUCCCGAGCGCGUUCCCGAAGUCGGAAUCGGCAAAGGUGAGCCGGGACAGCCUUCUUCCUCCGCCCAGCCGCCACAGUAAUUUGUCGUCAAGUUUGCCGCAGGAGGAUAUUUUAUUCUGGAUUAACCUGCUUUUGUACUUCGCAGGUUGUUUAUCAAUAUUGUGUAAUUUUAAUUACUCCUAGAAUUUCCACAUGUGUUAGCAGUAAUUAUUUGAAUUUGGUCUGUAAUAUUAUAUUCAUGUUGGACCUGUAAACUUAAAUAUGUUAUGCAUGUUGAUGGUUUGGAUGAGGGAGCUGAGCUCCCAUUUAUUUUUGUUGAUGAGUAUGUGGAGGGUGAGCUGAGCUCCCCAAUUGAGUA